RNAcentral lists this ribosomal RNA (1077 nucleotides) under Triticum aestivum (bread wheat). RNAcentral's name for it is "partial small subunit ribosomal RNA". The record is from RNAcentral. Lineage: Eukaryota; Viridiplantae; Streptophyta; Magnoliopsida; Poales; Poaceae.
AUGGCCACCUGCCUCUCUGAUAUUAUCAGUGACCAUUCCAUUGACUUUCUCGACCUUCAGGAAACCUUGAAGAAAAAUUUCUCUCCCAAAAAUCUUAGGAAGUUUGAUCCUUUUGACAACUUCCAUUGGGACUGGAUUCUUGCUGUUGGCAAAUCUAGUGGGGUUUUAUGUGGUGUUAGGAAAGAUUCUUUUGAAGUGAUUUCUUGUAUCAAAAAGUAUGUCCUCCAAAUGAAUCUUAAAGAUCUCAAGAACAAGUGCUCUUGGGGGCUUUUAGUUGUUUACGGAUCGGCUCAUAAGGACCAUAAAGAGGAGUUUCUCCUUGAACUUGCUUCCUUUUGUGGUAAUAUAGAUAUCCCAUGUAUUGUGGGAGGGGAUUUUAAUAUCCUAAGGCAAAGUGGAGAGAAAAACAAAAGCCUCCAACACUGCAGAUCCAUUGACCUAUUCAACUCUAUUAUCAAUACCCUGGGACUUAGGGAUAUAUAUACCAGUGGAGACAAGUAUACAUGGUCCAAUAAUCAAUCUCAUCCUACCCUUGAGAAAUUAGACCGCAUCCUCAUGUCAGAUGACUGGGAAAAUUUAUUCCCUCUGGUGAACGUUAGGAAAUUAGUUCGUGAACUAUCUGACCAUAACCCUCUACUUUUGUCCUCUAACAAUAAGAAAAAUGAGCCUCCUAAAUGCCGUGAAUUCCAUUUUGACCUUUUCUGGAUCAAAAAUAAGAAACAUAGAGAAGAAUUACGUGUUGAGAUCUCCCUUCUUGAAGAGCUUGAGGAAGACGAUCCUCUGUCUCCUGAGCUUUAUAGUAGGAAGUUGGACAUGGAGCUCGAGCUUCUUGAAUUACUAGUUGUCAAAGAGAUCUUCUGGCUCCAGCAAUCUCAUGAACGCUGGCUGCUAAAAGGGGACUGUAAUACUGAUUACUUUCACAAAAUUGCUAAUGGGCGUAACAUAAGAACACUAUCCUUUCCCUUAAAUGUGGGGAGGUGGGGAUUGAAGGGACGGACAACCUUAUUAAUCAUGCUACUACUUUCUAUAAGGAUCUCUUUGGUCCAGCUCCGGGCAAUAGAUUCCACCUUGAUCUAG